Gallus gallus (chicken) is the source of this 2567-nucleotide long non-coding RNA. The record is from Ensembl. NCBI's taxonomy places the organism in Eukaryota, Metazoa, Chordata, Aves, Galliformes, Phasianidae.
CCCCAAGGGACCCACAGCACCCUACGGCCGAGAGCUGUGGGAUGUGGAGAACCCAGUGACGUGGAGCACCGUGGGACCUGGAGGACCUGGUGGGACCUGGUGAGAUCUGGUGGGAUCUGGAGCAUGCAAGGAGAAGAUGAUGGGACUUGGUGGGACCUGGUGGGACCUGGGACCUGGAGCACCCAAAGGAUUUGACAGGAAGGAUUUGGUGAGACCUGGUGGGAUCUGGUGACACCCAGUGGGACCUGGAGUACCCAACGAGCUGCAGGUCCUGGAGGACCUGGUAAGACCUGGUGGGACCUGGUGGGACCUGGAGCAUCCAAGGACCUUGUGGGAUCUUGUGAGACCUGGUGAGAUCUGAUGGAACCUGGAGGACCCAAGGACCUGAAGGAUUUGGUGAGACCUGGUAGGAUCUGGAGCACCCAAGGACCUGAGCAGAGCCUCACGUGCAGCGGCCUCGAGACCUCAUCCCUGCAAGCAUGACUGCAACCCUGGGCAAAGGGGCACUGCACCUUGCAGCAGCAUUAUCUCUGCAAAGCAAUUGAAAAUGUGUCAAUAGUUCUGCUGGAAGGGACCAAGGAAGGUCAGCAAGUCUGCCUGCCCGGCCACUGGCAGAUAAAGUAGGAUACUGAGGGCAUUUUCCAAGUGCCCCCUGAAUGCAGAGGUGUGGGCACCAGCUGCCUCACAGGAACCCUGUGCCAGUGUCUGACCACUCUCACAAUAAAGACAUUUCUCCUAUGGCCUCACCUGAGCCUCCCCUGGCACAGCUGCAUGGUGCACCCACACGUUGUACCAUUGGUGAGCAGGGAGCAGAGACCAGGCAGCCCCAGGGCCUCUCCUCCCACCCAUAGAUGUCAAACAGAUCCAGCCCUAUAUUGGAGCCCUGGGAGCACUGCAGGUGUUGAGCCCCAUUCACUGCAACCCCUGGAGAUCUUCCACUCAGCUCUCCAACACUCAGAAGAACACCAAGGACGGACCCCUCCUCCAUGAGCCCACGUUGGCUGUGACAACAGCUUUGCCCUCUGAGUGCCUUCCACCUUUCCCAGGACACCUUCCCCCACGAGUUCCCCACCCGGGGGUCAUCCUAAGAGGGCUGCAGCUCCCAGUGGCAGAUGGGGAUAACGCUGGCUGGCAUCCAGCUGGCAGGAUCCUCCCCAGACCUUUGGUAAAUCAUUAGGUAAAUGGUUUACCAGAGCUAAUCUCAGCCAUAAAACCCACCAUAAAGUGCAAACCUUUAGCAGUUGGGCUGCAGCUCGUGGCAGGGGUCAGCUGGGCUUUGGGGCAGAGCUAAAGGAGGGUUUCCCUUUUUGUGGGCGGCCUGAGACCUUUGGAAAAGCCUUGAAGGGGAUGAGAGCUGGGGGCUUCCUUCAGGAGAGAUGGCAAGAUGGGAAGCUCCACCCUCCUGCUAAGAGCAGAGGUAUUUUAAUAUGGAGUCAUAGAAUCACAGCAUGGUUGGCUUGGAGGGGACCUUCAAGCUGGGUUUCCCUCGCCAAACCAAGGCCCUAUCCACAGCCUUGGGCACCUCCAGGCAAUGCAACAAAGCAUCCUUGUAUGUGUUUAUAGCCACACAGCAUUCCACAGCCCUACAGGGUUGGAUGUGCGUGGUUGCUCAUCCCAUCCACACAAUGGGAGCAAACCCAAGGCCAUUGGUCCCUUGCACCCAUCAGGCACAGGGGACACAGCAAUGGCAGUGUGGGGACAGCCCAGGCCCCUCCACCACCCCUGCAUGCUGGGCCCCACCAGCAGUUUGUAACAGGCUCUUUAAUUAGCAACGUUGCCAGGGACAUAACGGCUUUAUUAAAUCUGCCUGUAAUGAAACCAUCACCGCACUGCCAGGAUGACACUGUCCCCAGCGGUCCCCUCUGUGGCCUGCAGCAGUUCUGGGCUCCUCUGGGGCUCCAAAGGACCACCAGGAGCCCCUCAGAUCGAUACCUCAUCUCCUGCCCACCCACACCCCCCAGCUGCUGCCCCCCUCUCCUCCUCCACCUGAGAUCAUCCAAUUGCCAUUUUGCUGAUCUAACGCAUCGCCGGUGGGUUGUUUCCUUUUUUCUCUCCCCUAAAUCAACUUCUUAUCGCUUAAGAAAUGCUGAUGGGAAGGAUGCGUCCCCGAGGAGCGGCUGCGGGAGCACAGCUGCUGAGAUUGGGUCUGUCACUAAAUGCAAUGGGAAAAAUAACACUACUUCAAGGAGUUGUUGGGCGCAGCUCAGGACUGAUCACUUGGCAAAUCCAACGGGUUUGGGAUCCGGGGGCUUCAGAACCCCCUGUAGCACACAGAAUCCCUGUCCUGAAUGCACCCGUGACCGCCCCUACAAGCCCCCAAUUUCCGGGGGUCUCAUCGAUUCCCAUUGGGAUUCAGCUUCCCCCGACCCAGGGCUCAGAGCGAAGGGCACCGACACCCGUUUUAUUCCCUGCAGCAAUUAAACCGCCUUCUCCUCUCCGGGAACACAGUGCUGUGAUAAGAUCCGUGCAGCAAGCACUCACACUCCAUCUCUUCCAGAAGAGGCUGAAGGCUCGUUUAUGGGGAUUUUAAUAGCUGCCUGGAUAAACAGCAGCGAUAACCCUCACCG